This 1201-nucleotide unclassified non-coding RNA is filed under the name Lingula anatina. RNAcentral describes it as "ankyrin repeat and SOCS box protein 3, transcript variant X2". The record is from RNAcentral. Lineage: Eukaryota; Metazoa; Brachiopoda; Lingulata; Lingulida; Lingulidae.
UACGAAAGAAAAUGAAUCAUGGCUCGAACAACUGCAAGCAAUGGUUUGCAAACUUCUAGAACCCAAUCUUUAGGAUAAAAUGAAAAUAUAUCGGAGGAUAUGGGAAUAGAUAUGUUAACAGCACAUUGAUGCUGUUAGACAUGAAAAAAUAAUAUGGCCAACAUGCAGUGACUGUUAUUAAAAUGGAGUGGUGAAGCAGAAAUAUAACAGAUGGCUGUCAGAGGGUUGCUUUCAGUGAACAAGAACAUCAAUCCUGAUGCUUGGAUGGAGAGAGCGCUGGAUGAAUUUCACUUGUUACCUAAACUGCAUCAGGCAAUAUAUCAAAAUAAUUUAGAAAAUGUUAAAAAUUUGAUAAACAGUGGGUGCAAUAUUAAUGAAAAGAAUGACAUGGGAGAAACCGCACUCUAUUUUGCAGCUUAUUUUGGAAAACAGAAUGCAUGGAAGAAUUGCUAGUUAGUCCAUAUGUAGAUGUGAACCAUUGGUCUUUCAUUCCUGGUAGGACAGGGCCCUUCGUUUCUGCAAAUCCAACACCUUUAGAAAGAGCCUGUGGGAUUGUAAGUCCUGAUUUGGUUCGGCUUUUGUUGAACAAUGGUGCAAGGGCUGAUGGUAUUUAUCAGAAGUCCUGUGUGAGAAUACCACUGUUAUGUCUUUUUCAUUUACUGGACACCUUGUCUUCAUUUAAGCUGGACACAUGUCAGAAAAUACAGGAUUUUCAAAGGUGCAUUGAACUCUUAUUAUGUCAUGGCAUUAAAAAUGAUGUAAUGCAAUUGUUUACUAGACCAAAAGAUUAUAGAAAAAAAACAGUGGCUGGUGCAAGACUGAGAACUAUCACCAAUAUAAGACAGCAGAUAAGAAAAAAGAACAUGGAGGAAUAUUUUCCAGAAUAUUUGAAGUCAGAAUGGAAGAGAUUUCUGUCUUGGCUACAAUUUAAAGAGAACAAUGUAUCAUCUUUAAAAUCCUUAGUGCGAAUGAAAAUAAGAGAAACAGUAGGUCACAGAGUCCAAUGUCAUGUUAAAGAAUUACCUAUUCCAAGAUUGCUUAAGGAAUGUGUGCUCCUGUAUGAUAUUUGAUGAGCUGACAACAUUCAUUCACAUAAUUUUACAAGCAUAAUUUAAUAGAAAAGCAAAUGUCUUUUUAGGCUAUGCCUGGAUGUUCAUAUGUACAUGUAUAACUACUGGUGCUGUUAUAAUAAAUGCUACAU